GCGAUCAUACCAGCACUAAUGCACCGGAUCCCAUCAGAACUCCGAAGUUAAGCGUGCUUGGGCGAAAGUAGUACUAGGAUGGGUGAACCCCUUGGAAGUCCUCGUAUUGCACCCC
Molecule: ribosomal RNA, 115 nt
Filed under: Salvia splendens (bonfire salvia)
Lineage: Eukaryota; Viridiplantae; Streptophyta; Magnoliopsida; Lamiales; Lamiaceae
Source: RNAcentral